RNAcentral lists this ribosomal RNA (801 nucleotides) under uncultured Rothia sp. RNAcentral's name for it is "bacterial SSU rRNA". It matches the Rfam family "Bacterial small subunit ribosomal RNA", at positions 50 to 856 of the family's 1533-position model. The record is from RNAcentral. Lineage: Bacteria; Bacillati; Actinomycetota; Actinomycetes; Micrococcales; Micrococcaceae.
UACACAUGCAAGUCGAACGAUGAAGCCUAGCUUGCUAGGUGGAUUAGUGGCGAACGGGUGAGUAAUACGUGAGUAACCUACCUUUAACUCUGGGAUAAGCCUGGGAAACUGGGUCUAAUACCGGAUACGACCAAUCUCCGCAUGGGGUGUUGGUGGAAAGCGUUAUGUAGUGGUUAUAGAUGGGCUCACGGCCUAUCAGCUUGUUGGUGAGGUAACGGCUCACCAAGGCGACGACGGGUAGCCGGCCUGAGAGGGUGACCGGCCACACUGGGACUGAGACACGGCCCAGACUCCUACGGGAGGCAGCAGUGGGGAAUAUUGCACAAUGGGCGCAAGCCUGAUGCAGCGACGCCGCGUGGGGGAUGACGGCCUUCGGGUUGUAAACCUCUGUUAGCAGGGAAGAAGAGAGAUUGACGGUACCUGCAGAGAAAGCGCCGGCUAACUACGUGCCAGCAGCCGCGGUAAUACGUAGGGCGCGAGCGUUGUCCGGAAUUAUUGGGCGUAAAGAGCUUGUAGGCGGUUUGUCGCGUCUGCUGUGAAAGGCCGGAGCUUAACUCCGUGUAUUGCAGUGGGUACGGGCAGACUAGAGUGCAGUAGGGGAGACUGGAAUUCCUGGUGUAGCGGUGGAAUGCGCAGAUAUCAGGAGGAACACCGAUGGCGAAGGCAGGUCUCUGGGCUGUAACUGACGCUGAGAAGCGAAAGCAUGGGGAGCGAACAGGAUUAGAUACCCUGGUAGUCCAUGCCGUAAACGUUGGGCACUAGGUGUGGGGAACAUUCCACGUUUUCCGCGCCGUAACUAAC